This is a non-coding RNA of Cinara cedri, 201 nucleotides long. The record is from the annotation of a GenBank genome assembly. Lineage: Eukaryota; Metazoa; Arthropoda; Insecta; Hemiptera; Aphididae.
UGGAAGGAAUGAAAGGAAGGAAUUAACAUGUUCCCACGGUACCUCCAUCUGUCAUAAGAUACGACAAACGGGAUUGCGUCGGGUCGACAGUCGGUGCAAUAUUCUGUCAAACAGUGUGUCGAGUUCUACUUUGGCGGAUUAUGUCCCAUCUCGUAUGUGCGCGGGGACAACGGGCGAGAGGAAGCACCGUGGUGCUAGACG